UCCUUUUUUGUGAUGAUUGUUUGUAUAAUUUAAGGAAAUAUUUAUAUUUUGGACAUAAUUGCUCGUUUUUAUUUUUCUGUUCCUUUUGUAGAAAGAGAUUUGGUUGCUGUUGGCACCGAAGGGUAGAUUCAAGAAAGAUUUCGACCAAAUAACUCCACAUUUUACUGACAUUUUGGUGCAUUCUUUAAUUUGGAUUGAUGAUCUUCCAGAAGAAGCAACUCUGGUCAUUCAGUUAAGCCCCGCAUCUGGCUUGUUUGAAGUGUGUUUGGCCUAUCGGGGAGAGAAAACACUCCCUCUAAAAGGUGACGUCAUUGUGAGUGGAAAGGUAGUCAUUUACGAGAAGGAUUUUGAAAAAGAAAGAUGGUGUUGGGAUCGGCCUUUACCUACGGCUGCCAUCCGGAGGACUCUGAACAUUGAAGAUUUGAAGAACGCUUACGGCGCUAAAGGCUAUGAUUUGAGCCCGGAAUUCCAGAAUAACAUUAGCGAACUGCAAAUUUAUGAUGAAGUUUCCGUAGGGAGGCUCACUUGGAAGAAAAAUUGGCAGAGUGUGAUUGAUGGCGUCAUCAAAGCCGGUUUAUUGAUCAACGUUGACGACACAGCGGUCAGCUGUCCCGUGGCUAUUCAGUCCCUCAUUAUUAAACCGGACGAUAUCAAACUCAUGGACUACGGUAAUUUGCAACCACGUAUUCUUGUAAUUAUUGUAAUGCGCUUACAAGUUCUUAGAUAGAAAUUGUGAAUUUCGUGCCUUCACGGUCGCAUAAC
This 762-nucleotide long non-coding RNA is filed under the name Bemisia tabaci. Its description in RNAcentral is "lncRNA ENSSSA3NGG011837". The record is from RNAcentral. Lineage: Eukaryota; Metazoa; Arthropoda; Insecta; Hemiptera; Aleyrodidae.